AAAUAACUAUGAGUUUACUUGAUAAAAAUCACUCAAAUUAGCACAAGAUAAACCAUAAAAUAGUGGUCUAUCAAUCUCCUCACACAUAAACAUUAGCGUGUCCUCAUGCUAAGCUCAAGGAGACAAAAGGAAUGAAUGGGGGAAAAGUAAGACUCAUGAGAUGCAACCUAUGUAUGUGAAUGCAACUAUAU
Arachis ipaensis is the source of this 191-nucleotide non-coding RNA. NCBI's taxonomy places the organism in Eukaryota, Viridiplantae, Streptophyta, Magnoliopsida, Fabales, Fabaceae. The record is from RefSeq and is a predicted model, not a curated record.